CCUCACCGCGUGCACUGGCCCGGCCGGGUCCUUCCCCCCGGGGAGCCGCAUGCCCUUCGUUGGGCGUGCCGGGGAUCCGGGGAUUUUACUUUGAAAAAAUUAGAGUGUUCAAAGCAGGCCUUUGCUCGGAUACCACAGCAUGGAAUGAUGGAAUAGGACGUGCGGUCCUAUUUUGUUGGUUUUCAGGACCGCCGUAAUGAUUAAUAGGGACGGUCGGGGGCGUCAGUAUUCAAUUGUCAGAGGUGAAAUUCUUGGAUUUAUUGAAGACUAGCUACUGCGAAAGCAUUCGCCAAGGAUGUUUUCAUUAAUCAGUGAACGAAAGCUGGGGGAUCGAAGACGAUCAGAUACCGUCGUAGUCUCAGCCGUAAACUAUGCCGACUAGGGAUCGGGCGGUGUUACUUGUUGACCCGCUCGGCACCUCGCGAGAAAUCAAAGUUUUUGGGUUCUGGGGGGAGUAUGGUCGCAAGGCUGAAACUUAAAGAAAUUGACGGAAGGGCACCACCAGGCGUCGACAAAAAAGGGUCCCGCAGGGCCUCUGCGCUGUACAGCAGCCCCAAAAGGGGUGGGUGGUCGCCGAAAAUGCUAGUCUGCACUGCAGGCAACGUGCCCAAAUUGCGAGGAUAUCCUUAGGGCCCCACGCUACCAAGCCGCGUUGGAAAUGAUGCGGUGGCCAGGCUGAGAGUGCCUGGGUAUGGUCACAAUGUGUGGGGAGUGGAUUACUCGCAGCCAAGCCCCUUCAGCAAAGUAUGCCAGGGGAAGGUUCAGAGACUAAAUGGGUGCGGGCGGGCCUCAGCAGCCUGCUCAAGAUAUAGUCCGGCCGCUCGCGAAAGCGCGCGGGUUUGAACGGGAGCCUGCGGCUUAAUUUGACUCAACACGGGAAAUCUUUACCAGGUCCAGACACGCGAAGGAUUGACAGAUUGAAGUCCUUUCAUGAUGUGUGGGUGGUGGUGCAUGGCCGUUUUUAGUUCGUGGGGUGACUUGUCUGCUUAAUUGCGAUAACGAACGAGACCCCUAACCUGCUAAAUAGCCAGGCUGGCUCCGGCCGGUCGCAGGCUUCUUAGAGGGACUAUCGGCUUAAGUCGAUGGAAGUUUGGGGCAAUAACAGGU
RNAcentral lists this ribosomal RNA (1107 nucleotides) under Strigula nitidula. Its description in RNAcentral is "partial small subunit ribosomal RNA". It matches the Rfam family "Eukaryotic small subunit ribosomal RNA", at positions 718 to 1461 of the family's 1831-position model. The record is from RNAcentral. Lineage: Eukaryota; Fungi; Ascomycota; Dothideomycetes; Strigulales; Strigulaceae.